This 2353-nucleotide small RNA is filed under the name Pan troglodytes (chimpanzee). RNAcentral's name for it is "processed transcript". Lineage: Eukaryota; Metazoa; Chordata; Mammalia; Primates; Hominidae. The record is from RNAcentral.
AGAGACGGGGACCCGCCUUGCCGGGUUAGGCGCACCUCCUGGGGCGGGACUGGCUCCAACCUGGGCCCCUUACUGCGGCUUUCUCUGUGGCCGAGGCCAGGCCGUCCCCGGGGUGGCCAGGAGAGCACCGUAAACUCUUCAGCCUGCUCCGUGGCCGCGAUCUCGGAAAAAGCACCAAUUCUGUGAUGUGCAGCAGCAUUUACUGGGCAUCUAUGACCCUGUGAUAGGCUUUGGGGUCUUUUUCUGUAAGGAGUCCAGUAAAGGAGAAGUACAUCUGCAUUAUGAACACCUAAAUAUGCCAAAAAGCAAAUGGAUUUCCACCUGACAAAUCUUCGGGAUCCAAGAAGCAGAAACAAUAUCAGCGGAUUCGGAAGGAGAAGCCUCAACAACACAACUUCACCCACCGCCUCCUGGCUGCAGCUCUGAAGAGCCACAGCGGGAACAUAUCUUGCAUGGACUUUAGCAGCAAUGGCAAAUACCUGGCUACCUGUGCAGAUGAUCGCACCAUCCGCAUCUGGAGCACCAAGGACUUCCUACAGCGAGAGCACCGCAGCAUGAGAGCCAACGUGGAGCUGGACCACGCCACCCUGGUGCGCUUCAGCCCUGACUGCAGAGCCUUCAUCGUCUGGCUGGCCAACGGGGACACCCUCCGUGUCUUCAAGAUGACCAAGAGGGAGGAUGGGGGCUACACCUUCACAGCCACCCCAGAGGACUUCCCUAAAAAGCACAAGGCGCCUGUCAUCGACAUUGGCAUUGCUAACACAGGGAAGUUUAUCAUGACUGCCUCCAGUGACACCACUGUCCUCAUCUGGAGCCUGAAGGGUCAAGUGCUGUCUACCAUCAACACCAACCAGAUGAACAACACACACGCUGCUGUAUCUCCCUGUGGCAGAUUUGUAGCCUCGUGUGGCUUCACCCCAGAUGUGAAGGUUUGGGAAGUCUGCUUUGGAAAGAAGGGGGAGUUCCAGGAGGUGGUGCGAGCCUUCGAACUAAAGGGCCACUCCGCGGCUGUGCACUCGUUUGCUUUCUCCAACGACUCACGGAGGAUGGCUUCUGUCUCCAAGGAUGGUACAUGGAAACUGUGGGACACAGAUGUGGAAUACAAGAAGAAGCAGGACCCCUACUUGCUGAAGACAGGCCGCUUUGAAGAGGCAGCGGGUGCCGCGCCGUGCCGCCUGGCCCUCUCCCCCAACGCCCAGGUCUUGGCCUUGGCCAGUGGCAGUAGUAUUCAUCUCUACAACACCCGGCGGGGCGAGAAGGAGGAGUGCUUUGAGCGGGUCCAUGGCGAGUGUAUCGCCAACUUGUCCUUUGACAUCACUGGCCGCUUUCUGGCCUCCUGUGGGGACCGGGCGGUGCGGCUCUUUCACAACACUCCUGGCCACCGAGCCAUGGUGGAGGAGAUGCAGGGCCACCUGAAGCGGGCCUGCAACGAGAGCACCCGCCAGAGGCUGCAGCAGCAGCUGACCCAGGCCCAAGAGACCCUGAAGAGCCUGGGUGCCCUGAAGAAGUGACUCUGGGAGGGCCCGGCGCAGAGGAUUGAGGAGGAGGGAUCUGGCCUCCUCAUGGCGCUGCUGCCAUCUUUCCUCCCAGGUGGAAGCCUUUCAGAAGGAGUCUCCUGGUUUUCUUACUGGUGGCCCUGCUUCUUCCCAUUGAAACUACUCUUGUCUACUUAGGUCUCUCUCUUCUUGCUGGCUGCGACUCCUCCCUGACUAGUGGCCAAGGUGCUUUUCUUCCUCCCAGGCCCAGUGGGUGGAAUCUGUCCCCACCUGGCACUGAGGAGAAUGGUAGAGAGGAGAGAGAGAGAGAAUGUGAUUUUUGGCCUUGUGGCAGCACAUCCUCACACCCAAAGAAGUUUGUAAAUGUUCCAGAACAACCUAGAGAACACCUGAGUACUAAGCAGCAGUUUUGCAAGGAUGGGAGACUGGGAUAGCUUCCCAUCACAGAACUGUGUUCCAUCAAAAAGACACUAAGGGAUUUCCUUCUGGGCCUCAGUUCUAUUUGUAAGAUGGAGAAUAAUCCUCUCUGUGAACUCCUUGCAAAGAUGAUAUGAGGCUGAGAGAAUAUCAAGUCCGCAGGUCUGGAAGAAAAGUAGAAAAGAGUAGUACUAUUGUCCAAUGUCAUGAAAGUGGUAAAAGUGGGAACCAGUGUGCUUUGAAACCAAAUUAGAAACACAUUCCUUGGGAAGGCAAAGUUUUCUGGGACUUGAUCAUAUAUUUUAUAUGGUUGGGACUUCUCUCUUCGGGAGAUGAUAUCUUGUUUAAGGAGACCUCUUUUCAGUUCAUCAAGUUCAUCAGAUAUUUGAGUGCCUACUCUGUGCCCAAAUAAAUAUGAGCUGGGGAUUAAAUACGAAUAA